RNAcentral lists this long non-coding RNA (538 nucleotides) under Zonotrichia albicollis (white-throated sparrow). RNAcentral's name for it is "lncRNA (ENSZALG00000010324.1)". Lineage: Eukaryota; Metazoa; Chordata; Aves; Passeriformes; Passerellidae. The record is from RNAcentral.
CAUUUUAAAAAAUCCGAUGGGCAGACACAGAGGACUGAACCAUCCUGAAGGGAUCCUGUCGCUUUCUGAGUGAAUUACUUCUGAUAUCUCACUUGUAAUCUGAAGCAUGGAACCAAGUCUCAUUUCAGAUGACUGCAUAUGAAUAGAUCUGUUUCUGCUGGAGAGGUAGACCAGAUUUUCUGUUACAAAAUGUGUUAAAACCAAGGCUGUGCUUGCAGAAGAUCUUUGCUGGUGCUGUGUACUCAGAACAUCCAAUGGCUUCCGGAAGAGCCAUUUUAUGCCUCAGCACCUCCAAAAAUGAGAUUGUGGAAAACUGGCUUGAAAAUCUCAUUAUAUUAAGCAUGAAAUAAAAUACGAAAUAGGAAUGUUAGCAGAAGACCUGAAUAUGAAUUUCAGAGAAAUAAGACUGAAGAGAAAGAAGUAACUCUUUUGUGAAAAGAACAGGAUUCUGCUGAUGUGUUAGUGAAUGUGGAAAUGUAUUCUAAUGAAUACCAAGAUUUCAAAUAAAAACUGCUGCCAGAAGUGUUGAUAGACUUUC